AGCCAAUGAUGAUUACAAUUGUAUUUAUUCGAUGAAUCAUGAUUACAACAAUACUGCCUUCCUUCUGAGGCU
Small nucleolar RNA from Cynara cardunculus var. scolymus (artichoke), 72 nucleotides. RefSeq annotates it as small nucleolar RNA U83. The transcript has a single exon. The record is from RefSeq and is a predicted model, not a curated record. Lineage: Eukaryota; Viridiplantae; Streptophyta; Magnoliopsida; Asterales; Asteraceae.